RNAcentral lists this ribosomal RNA (253 nucleotides) under uncultured bacterium. RNAcentral's name for it is "partial 16S ribosomal RNA". It matches the Rfam family "Bacterial small subunit ribosomal RNA", at positions 524 to 776 of the family's 1533-position model. The record is from RNAcentral.
UACGUAGGGACCAAGCGUUGUUCGGAUUUACUGGGCGUAAAGGGCGCGUAGGCGGCCAUGCGUGUCUUCCGUGAAAUCCCUCGGCUUAACCGAGGACGUGCGGAAGAAACUGCAAGGCUCGAGUCCGGAAGAGGGGGGCGGAAUUCCCAGUGUAGCGGUGAAAUGCGUAGAUAUUGGGAGGAACACCAGUGGCGAAGGCGGUCCCCUGGGCCGGAACUGACGCUGAGGCGCGAAAGCGUGGGGAGCAAACAGG